This is a long non-coding RNA of Ictalurus punctatus (channel catfish), 1686 nucleotides long. The record is from Ensembl. NCBI's taxonomy places the organism in Eukaryota, Metazoa, Chordata, Actinopteri, Siluriformes, Ictaluridae.
CACAGGAAGUCAUGGAUGAAAGAAUAAGAGUUCCUAAACCCUCAGGGAAAGUUAAACAAGUCAAAUAAAAAUGGAAACAUUCUUCAGUUACAAUUUGUUCAUUAGAAUUUCUAGGGGUGCCAAUAAUUGUGACACAUCCUGGUUUUGUUUUAUUCCUUCCUUAGUUGUAUUAGAGAUAUUUCUUUAGUUCUGUGUUAACUAUGAUAACAUUAACAUGUGAAAUGAGACGAUGCUAUUAGAAGAGCUUUCCUGCCUCAUCAAUAAAUAAAAACAAGGACGAAAACGAGGACGAGAGAAUGGAGAGAGUGAGAGGGAGGGAGGGGAGAUGGAUGGACAGAGAGAAAAAAGAGAGCGUGAUUAAAGGAGGGAUGUAGAGAGACGAGGAAUGAUGGAGAGGCAGAUGGAGAAAGAUGGAGAGACAGAGGUUGAUGCAUGGUGAGAGAGAGAAUGGGAAAGAUGGAAAGACAAAAUGGAGAGACUGAAAGAGCGACUAAAAGGAUAGAGAUGGACAUACAGAACUAGGAGAGAAAGAGACAGACAGACAGACAGACAGACAGACAGACAGACAGACAGACAGGCUGAAGGUCAUUCCUCAUGAUCUUUAAUGCAGUAAGCUUAUGAUGUCUUGUUUCCGCGUCAUUGCUCCAGAUGGCCUGAAAGAGUCAUCAAUAUUUCACUUUUACUGGCUUCCAAUGAGUGUGUAUGUGUGUGUGUGUGUGUGUGUGUGUGUGUGUGUGUGUGUGUGUGUGUGUGUGUUGUGUGUGUGUGUGUAGCCGAGCAAGACUCCAUUUUCUAAUGAGCAUCCAUGUUAAGAUCUGAUGCAAGCAGAAGUAAAUCUUUCACACCGAUGAUUAAUGUGUGUGUGUGUGUGUGUGUGUGUGUGUGUGUGUGUGUGUGUGUGUGUGUGUGUGUGUGUGGACCAUACUUUAAGAAUAUAAAACAUGUUCUUAUGAACAAUACAAAUAAAAAUCUGCAGUGUGUGUUUAUUGGAAAAGUUGCAUACUGCAGAAGUGUGUGUUGGUGUGUGAGUAAAGAAUCCGUGUGUGUGUGUGUGUAUGUGUGUGUGUGUGUGUGUGUGUGUGUGUGUGUAAUGACUAAGACAGCAUGCUGAAUGAAAUGGGAAUUGACUAAAGUAGAAGGGCGGGGCUGCGGGUGACAGCAGGGGACACAAAGGGUAAUUACAGUGCCUGGAGUGUGUGUGUGUGUGUGUGUGUGUGUGUGUGUGUGUGUGUGUGUGUGUGUGUGAGGCCCAGCUGUCAGUAUCGUACUCCAUUAUUCAGCUCUCCAGGGUUUUUUCACUUCACCGUCAUGUUAAAAAUAACAGUUUGGUCUCGGCAGUUUUCGCUUUCACAAACAUUUUUCCCGCUUUUUUUCCCUCACAGCUUGUUUCUGGAUAUUUAUCCUCACUUACUUUCCUUUUCUUCUUUCCUUCCCCGACGCUUUCUUCCUUUUUGCUCAUUUUAUUCUUCUUUUUUUUUCCCUUUGAUAUUUUGAUUGAGAAUUUUCUCAAAUUAUUUUUUCUCAGCAGGUUUAUUUUAUUUUAUUUUAUUUCCACACUUCCAGGAACUAUGUCUACGUGAAUUAAUGUUAUUUUAAGAUAUUACUGUAUUUUAAUAAUUAUUAAUAUUUUACAUAUUGAGACAUUACAUUUAUAAUUAUUUUCCAUUUUAUAUAGAUUUAAAUCAU